RNAcentral lists this ribosomal RNA (777 nucleotides) under Clostridium sp. AL08-9. RNAcentral describes it as "bacterial SSU rRNA". It matches the Rfam family "Bacterial small subunit ribosomal RNA", at positions 85 to 884 of the family's 1533-position model. Lineage: Bacteria; Bacillati; Bacillota; Clostridia; Eubacteriales; Clostridiaceae. The record is from RNAcentral.
CCUUUGGGAAGGGGCCGAAGGUGAGUACGCGUGGGUAACCUGCCCUGUACACACGGAUAACAUACCGAAAGGUAUACUAAUACGGGAUAACAUACGAAAGUCGCAUGGCUUUUGUAUCAAAGCUCCGGCGGUACAGGAUGGACCCGCGUCUGAUUAGCUAGUUGGUAAGGUAAUGGCUUACCAAGGCAACGAUCAGUAGCCGACCUGAGAGGGUGAUCGGCCACACUGGAACUGAGACACGGUCCAGACUCCUACGGGAGGCAGCAGUGGGGAAUAUUGCACAAUGGGCGAAAGCCUGAUGCAGCAACGCCGCGUGAGCGAUGAAGGCCUUCGGGUCGUAAAGCUCUGUCCUCAAGGAAGAUAAUGACGGUACUUGAGGAGGAAGCCCCGGCUAACUACGUGCCAGCAGCCGCGGUAAUACGUAGGGGGCUAGCGUUAUCCGGAAUUACUGGGCGUAAAGGGUGCGUAGGUGGUUUUUUAAGUCAGAAGUGAAAGGCUACGGCUCAACCGUAGUAAGCUUUUGAAACUAGAGAACUUGAGUGCAGGAGAGGAGAGUAGAAUUCCUAGUGUAGCGGUGAAAUGCGUAGAUAUUAGGAGGAAUACCAGUAGCGAAGGCGGCUCUCUGGACUGUAACUGACACUGAGGCACGAAAGCGUGGGGAGCAAACAGGAUUAGAUACCCUGGUAGUCCACGCCGUAAACGAUGAGUACUAGGUGUCGGGGGUUACCCCCCUCGGUGCCGCAGCUAACGCAUUAAGUACUCCGCCUGGGAAGUACG